Molecule: unclassified non-coding RNA, 24 nt
Filed under: Mus musculus (house mouse)
Lineage: Eukaryota; Metazoa; Chordata; Mammalia; Rodentia; Muridae
Description: oocyte_clustered_small_RNA13683
Source: RNAcentral
UGUGCACUGAUCUGCCAGACCUCA